CGCCCGGUUACAUUUCGAACCCGGAAGCUAAGCCUUUCAGCGCCGAUGGUACUGCAGAGGGGACUCUGUGGGAGAGUAGGACGCCGCCGAAC
RNAcentral lists this ribosomal RNA (92 nucleotides) under Streptomyces sp. SID7805. RNAcentral also lists the same sequence under 2 other names. The record is from RNAcentral. Lineage: Bacteria; Bacillati; Actinomycetota; Actinomycetes; Kitasatosporales; Streptomycetaceae.